CUACGGGGGGCACCAGUGAGGAAUAUUGCACAAUGGGGGGAACCCUGAUGCAGCAACGCCGCGUGGAGGAUGACGCAUUUCGGUGUGUAAACUCCUUUUAUAUGUCAAGAAAAUGACGGUAGCAUAUGAAUAAGCACCGGCUAACUCCGUGCCAGCAGCCGCGGUAAUACGGAGGGUGCAAGCGUUACUCGGAAUCACUGGGCGUAAAGGACGCGUAGGCGGGGUGGAAAGUCAGGUGUGAAAUCCUACAGCUUAACCGUAGAACUGCACUUGAAACUUGUAAUCUAGAGUAUGGGAGGGGGAGAUGGAAUUAGUGGUGUAGGGGUAAAAUCCGUAGAUAUCACUAGGAAUACCUAAAGCGAAGGCGAUCUCCUGGAACAUUACUGACGCUAAGGCGUGAAAGCGUGGGGAGCAAACAGGAUUAGAUACCCCCGUAGUC
RNAcentral lists this ribosomal RNA (439 nucleotides) under uncultured bacterium. Its description in RNAcentral is "partial 16S ribosomal RNA". It matches the Rfam family "Bacterial small subunit ribosomal RNA", at positions 339 to 795 of the family's 1533-position model. The record is from RNAcentral.